UCGAGAAUCAUUCGCAAUGGGGGAAACCCUGACGGUGCGACGCCGCGUGGAGGAUGAAGGCCCUCGGGUCGUAAACUCCUGUCACCAUAGAACAAGGCUCAGAGGUUAAUACCCGCCUGAGUUUGAUGGUAUAUGGAGAGGAAGCAACGGCUAACUCUGUGCCAGCAGCCGCGGUAAUACAGAGGUUGCAAGCGUUGUUCGGAUUUACUGGGCGUAAAGGGUCCGUAGGAGGCUGGGAAAGUCGGGCGUGAAAUCCUGAAGCUUAACUUCAGAACUGCACUCGAUACUACUUGGCUAGAGGAUCGGAGGGGUAAGCGGAAUUCUCGGUGUAGCGGUGAAAUGCGUAGAUAUCGAGAGGAACACCAAUAGCGAAAGCAGCUUACUGGACGAAUCCUGACUCUGAGGGACGAAGGCUAGGGGAGCGAACGGGAUUAGAUACCCCCGUAGUCC
Molecule: ribosomal RNA, 450 nt
Filed under: uncultured prokaryote
Description: bacterial SSU rRNA
Rfam family: Bacterial small subunit ribosomal RNA
Source: RNAcentral